GCCUAGAAGAUCAAAACAACACACAGUAACUUUCACAGGAGCACAGCCCACAGCCAACCCUAGGCAUCUCCCCCUGCACCUCCUCCAGUCUCCUUUCCAAGCCUGCAGCCCAGCCUGGCCUUGCCCCACACCUGUCCCUCUGGGCAGGAGACAAAAGGUACCACAAAUUCCUGAACCUUUUCAAGAUUCUGCAGUGAAAAUAAAGUUGGUUCUCAACUGUCGACAAAACAGUAAUCAAUAGUCCGUCUAAGAAACAAAUGUCAAGAGGGAGGGAACAUGUGUAUACCUAAUGUGAAUUCAUGUUGAUGUAUGGCAAAAACCACUACAAUAUGGAUAGAAUUCAGGUUCUUUACUUAGCAGGACAAAGAAGUUUCAGUAAGAGCCAGUCCCAGCCUUCUUCAAACCUCACUUCCCACCACUGCGUCACACCAUGUACCUUACCUUCCAGCAGGACCAAACAUGCCUGUGCUCUCAGACCGCCAAGCCCUUUCUUGGGCAGUGCAGCCUUCUUUGCCUGGAAUGGCCUCUCUACACCUUCAGCAAUGGGAGCACACCCAUACACUACCUGCUCUUAUU
Molecule: non-coding RNA, 576 nt
Organism: Odocoileus virginianus texanus
Lineage: Eukaryota; Metazoa; Chordata; Mammalia; Artiodactyla; Cervidae
Source: RefSeq, a predicted model, not a curated record